Molecule: ribosomal RNA, 475 nt
Filed under: uncultured bacterium
Lineage: Bacteria
Description: bacterial SSU rRNA
Rfam family: Bacterial small subunit ribosomal RNA
Source: RNAcentral
GAUGAACGCUGGCGGCGUGCUUAACACAUGCAAGUCGAACGGAGAUGUUGUGUGAGCGGAGAGUGCUUGCACUUAACAAUCUUUCAACAUCUUAGUGGCGGACGGGUGAGUAACGCGUGGGUAACCUGCCUCAUACAGGGGGAUAACACUUAGAAAUAGGUGCUAAUACCGCAUAAGCGCACAGAGUCGCAUGACUCAGUGUGAAAAACUCCGGUGGUAUGAGAUGGACCCGCGUCUGAUUAGCUAGUUGGUAAGGUAACGGCUUACCAAGGCGACGAUCAGUAGCCGGCCUGAGAGGGUGAACGGCCACAUUGGGGACUGAGACACGGGCCCAAAAUCCUACGGGAGGCAGCAGUGGGGAAUAUUGCACAAUGGGGGAAACCCUGAUGCAGCAACGCCGCGUGAGCGAAGAAGUAUUUCGGUAUGUAAAGCUCUAUCAGCAGGGAANAAAAUGACGGUACCUGACUAAGAAGCU